RNAcentral lists this ribosomal RNA (436 nucleotides) under uncultured bacterium. RNAcentral describes it as "bacterial SSU rRNA". It matches the Rfam family "Bacterial small subunit ribosomal RNA", at positions 335 to 784 of the family's 1533-position model. The record is from RNAcentral.
ACUCCUACGGGAGGCAGCAGUGGGGAAUAUUGCACAAUGGGCGCAAGCCUGAUGCAGCGACGCCGCGUGAGGGAUGACGGCCUUCGGGUUGUAAACCUCUUUCAGUAGGGAAGAAGCGAAAGUGACGGUACCUGCAGAAGAAGCACCGGCUAACUACGUGCCAGCAGCCGCGGUAAUACGUAGGGUGCGAGCGUUAUCCGGAAUUAUUGGGCGUAAAGAGCUCGUAGGCGGUUUGUCGCGUCUGUCGUGAAAGUCCGGGGCUUAACCCCGGAUCUGCGGUGGGUACGGGCAGACUAGAGUGCGGUAGGGGAGCUGGAAUUCCUGGUGUAGCGGUGGAAUGCGCAGAUAUCAGGAGGAACACCGAUGGCGAAGGCAGGUCUCUGGGCCGUAACUGACGCUGAGGAGCGAAAGCGUGGGGAGCGAACAGGAUUAGAUA